UACGUGAGGGGCGAACGUUGUUCGGUGUCACUGGGCUUAAAGGGUGCGUAGGUGGUUGUGUAAGUAACGUGUGAAAUCCCUCGGCUUACCCGGGGAAUUGCAUGUUAUACUGCAUGACUUGAGGACUAAAGGGGAAAAGGGAACUCCAGGUGUAGCGGUGAAAUGCGUAGAUAUCUGGAGGAACACCGGUGGCGAAGGCGGCAUCCUGGACCGACAUUGACGCUGAGGCGCGAAAGCCAGGGGAGCAAACGGG
This 253-nucleotide ribosomal RNA is filed under the name uncultured bacterium. RNAcentral describes it as "partial 16S ribosomal RNA". It matches the Rfam family "Bacterial small subunit ribosomal RNA", at positions 524 to 776 of the family's 1533-position model. The record is from RNAcentral.